GACGAACGCUGGCGGCGUGCUUAACACAUGCAAGUCGAACGAAGAGCGAUGGAAGCUUGCUUCUAUCAGUCUUAGUGGCGAACGGGUGAGUAACGCGUAAUCAACCUGCCCUUUAGAGGGGGACAACAGUUGGAAACGACUGCUAAUACCGCAUACGAUCUAAUCUCGGCAUCGAGGAAAGAUGAAAGGUGGCCGCUAUUUAUAAGCUAUCACUGAAGGAGGGGAUUGCGUCUGAUUAGCUAGUUGGAGGGGUAACGGCCCACCAAGGCGAUGAUCAGUAGCCGGUCUGAGAGGAUGAACGGCCACAUUGGGAAUGGAACACGGCCCAGACUUCUACGGGAGGCAGCAGUGGGGGAUCUUCCGCAAUGGACGAAAGUCUGACGGAGCAACGCCGGGGGAGUGAUGAAGGCCUUCGGGUUGUAAAGCUCUGUUAGUCGGGACGAAAGGCCUUCUUGCGAACAGUUAGCAGGAUUGACGGUACCGGAAGAGAAAGCCACGGCUAACUACGUG
Molecule: ribosomal RNA, 510 nt
Filed under: uncultured bacterium
Lineage: Bacteria
Description: partial 16S ribosomal RNA
Rfam family: Bacterial small subunit ribosomal RNA
Source: RNAcentral